UUAUCAUAUGUGAACGAUACGUGUAAAUGACAUCAUUAGUUAAAUUCUUGGCAGCAUCGCAUGACAUCAUUACCAUUUUGAUUUCUUCAACUUCUUCAAACGAUGGUUCCAGGUAAACAGAUGAAACUGCACCAUAACUCACGAUUUUAACCUUCUUUUUGCGCACACCAACCAGUUCAGGCUCCCUAACCACCCUCCAUCGAGCAAGCGACACAACAAUUUUUGGAUGACCAUAGCGCCGGUAACAGGUAUCAAAUUCCAAUGCCUUUCUCCCAGUGGCCUCACAGUCUAGAACCUCUUUGCUGCAGUAGGAAAACAUCUAACAAUUUGAAACACACAAAAUUAUAAUAUUUUUGGGAAUUUAAGCCGGAAAACUUACUAUCUGUCCAUUAAUUUAAAAGGAAUGAUCAUCCCCUCUACGCCAUCGUCGGGAUCACCAGAAUGAGACAGAAUUUCAACUUCAACAACAGCACCGACGAGAUCUGUACUUUCAGUGUAAGUUUAGAUCAAACCCUACCCUCAAAAAUGUUGUUAAUAAGAAUCAAUUGAUAAGUUAAUAAACAUAGACUUACCGACCAGUUAGUCGGUAUCGAAAGUCCCCUCCAAUAUGUUGUCGAAGGAAGUGAAAUUGUUGAACUGGAUAGCGGUGUUCGGAUCUACGGAUGUUACAACCGUCUCGUCCAUCAAGUAAAUCCCAUAUUCAGCCGUCGUAGUCUUGACUUGAUCAGAAUUAGGUAUAACCUUGAAGUUGGUUAACACGAUCCAUUUAUUUUCAGAGAUCUUGUCGAAGUAGAAGGCAGAAAAGCGUCGGUGGAUUGUAACCUCCAUCCUCAUCCCCUAUUCAGAAACU
Molecule: small RNA, 850 nt
Filed under: Arabidopsis thaliana (thale cress)
Lineage: Eukaryota; Viridiplantae; Streptophyta; Magnoliopsida; Brassicales; Brassicaceae
Description: ATSL042410
Source: RNAcentral